RNAcentral lists this small RNA (839 nucleotides) under Letendraea sp. 1 NV-2015. Its description in RNAcentral is "eukaryotic LSU rRNA". It matches the Rfam family "Eukaryotic large subunit ribosomal RNA", at positions 50 to 908 of the family's 3401-position model. Lineage: Eukaryota; Fungi; Ascomycota; Dothideomycetes; Pleosporales; Didymosphaeriaceae. The record is from RNAcentral.
GCGGAGGAAAAGAAACCAACAGGGAUUGCCCUAGUAACGGCGAGUGAAGCGGCAACAGCUCAAAUUUGAAAUCUGGCUCCUUUGGGAGUCCGAGUUGUAAUUUGCAGAGGGUGCUUUGGCAUAGGCGGCGGUCUAAGUUCCUUGGAACAGGACAUCGCAGAGGGUGAGAAUCCCGUACGUGGGCGCCUGCCUUUGCCGUGUAAAGCCCCUUCGACGAGUCGAGUUGUUUGGGAAUGCAGCUCUAAAUGGGAGGUAAAUUUCUUCUAAAGCUAAAUACCGGCCAGAGACCGAUAGCGCACAAGUAGAGUGAUCGAAAGAUGAAAAGUACUUUGGAAAGAGAGUCAAAAAGCACGUGAAAUUGUUGAAAGGGAAGCGCUUGCAGCCAGACUUGCCCGCAGUUGCUCACCUAGGCUUCGGCCUGGGGCACUCUUCUGCGGGCAGGCCAGCAUCAGUUUGGGCGGUUGGAUAAAGGCCUCUGUCACGUAUCUCUCUUCGGGGAGACCUUAUAGGGGAGGCGUAAUGCAACCAGCCCGGACUGAGGUCCGCGCAUCUGCUAGGAUGCUGGCGUAAUGGCUGUAAGCGGCCCGUCUUGAAACACGGACCAAGGAGUCUAACAUCUAUGCGAGUGUUUGGGUGUCAAGCCCGGGCGCGUAAUGAAAGUGAACGGAGGUGGGAACCGCAAGGUGCACCAUCGACCGAUCCUGAUGUCUUCGGAUGGAUUUGAGUAAGAGCAUAGCUGUUGGGACCCGAAAGAUGGUGAACUAUGCUUGAAUAGGGUGAAGCCAGAGGAAACUCUGGUGGAGGCUCGCAGCGGUUCUGACGUGCAAAUCGAUCGUCAA